AGUGAACGCUGGCGGUAGGCCUAACACAUGCAAGUCGAACGGCAGCACAGUAAGAGCUUGCUCUUACGGGUGGCGAGUGGCGGACGGGUGAGGAAUACAUCGGAAUCUACCUUUUCGUGGGGGAUAACGUAGGGAAACUUACGCUAAUACCGCAUACGACCUACGGGUGAAAGCAGGGGAUCUUCGGACCUUGCGCGAUUGAAUGAGCCGAUGUCGGAUUAGCUAGUUGGCGGGGUAAAGGCCCACCAAGGCGACGAUCCGUAGCUGGUCUGAGAGGAUGAUCAGCCACACUGGAACUGAGACACGGUCCAGACUCCCACGGGAGGCAGCAGUGGGGAAUAUUGGACAAUGGGCGCAAGCCUGAUCCAGCCAUACCGCGUGGGUGAAGAAGGCCUUCGGGUUGUAAAGCCCUUUUGUUGGGAAAGAAAAGCAGCAGGUUAAUACCCCGCUGUUCUGACGGUACCCAAAGAAUAAGCACCGGCUAACUUCGUG
RNAcentral lists this ribosomal RNA (492 nucleotides) under uncultured bacterium. RNAcentral describes it as "partial 16S ribosomal RNA". It matches the Rfam family "Bacterial small subunit ribosomal RNA", at positions 29 to 507 of the family's 1533-position model. The record is from RNAcentral.